CCCAAUUCAGUCAACUGGAAAAACAUCUACAUCCACAUUUGUCCUUUUCCCAUUGAUUUAAAAUGACUUUGAAUGUAUGAAAAGUGACCAGUUCCUUUAGUUUAAUGUCCUUUUGUAGGUUAAUUUAGAUACUGAAAC
This is a long non-coding RNA of Sphaeramia orbicularis (orbiculate cardinalfish), 138 nucleotides long. RefSeq lists it as uncharacterized. The record is from RefSeq and is a predicted model, not a curated record. Lineage: Eukaryota; Metazoa; Chordata; Actinopteri; Kurtiformes; Apogonidae. The transcript has 3 exons.